RNAcentral lists this ribosomal RNA (455 nucleotides) under uncultured bacterium. RNAcentral describes it as "bacterial SSU rRNA". It matches the Rfam family "Bacterial small subunit ribosomal RNA", at positions 340 to 786 of the family's 1533-position model. The record is from RNAcentral.
UACGGAAGGCAGCAGUGGGGAAUAUUGCACAAUGGGCGCAAGCCUGAUGCAGCCAUGCCGCGUGUAUGAAGAAGGCCUUCGGGUUGUAAAGUACUUUCAGUCGUGAGGAAGGUGUUAAGGUUAAUAACCUUAGCAAUUGACGUUAGCGACAGAAGAAGCACCGGCUAACUCCGUGCCAGCAGCCGCGGUAAUACGGAGGGUGCGAGCGUUAAUCGGAAUUACUGGGCGUAAAGGGCACGCAGGCGGUUAAUUAAGUUGGAUGUGAAAUCCCCGGGCUUAACCUGGGAAUGGCAUUCAAGACUGGUUAGCUAGAGUCUUGUAGAGGGGGUAGAAUUCCAUGUGUAGCGGUGAAAUGCGUAGAGAUGUGGAGGAAAUACCGGUGGCGAAGGCGGCCCCCUGGACAAAGACUGACGCUCAUGUGCGAAAGCGUGGGGAGCAAACAGGGAUUAGAUACC